AAAGAAGCGCGCAGCUCCGGGCAGCAGCAAGUGCUCCUUUUUCGGUGCGCUGCUUUCCAACUCUGCUGUCCUUUGAGGCUUUUCCCAACAACCUCACCCAGAUGUCCCAGCGCGGGUCUGAGCAUGCCAGGCCUGGGAGCCCGGCACCACCGCGAGGAUCGCCGUCCCCUACCUGGGUGGAAAAUCCGCAGCGAGCGGGUCAGCAGCCGAGCAUCAGACAAAAAGACUCGGGACCAUUUCUCAUUGUCAGUAGAGCAAAACACUGGAAAUCACUUUAAUGUUCAACGUGAGGGGAGUUUUGAAGUCAAUAGUGGAGUAUAGCUGCAUGUGACGAGACACUUUAAAGUGUGAAAUCACUCUCCGGAAGAUGAUUUAAUGGAGAGAAGAAUGUAUAUGAGAAAACACAGCCUCCGACCUGAGUGUACAGAGUAAAUCCACUAUGCAGAUGAAGAAAGUUACAUGCUUCAAGGAAAUGAUUUUAUACAAUUCCUCCAAAGUCUGGAGCAUAGGAUUUCAAUGUAGCCUCUCUACUGCCCUCCCAGGGGUCAGAUAGGCCUGCAAAUGUUUGAAGAGUAACACUGGCCACACAAAGUCAUCCAGACAGACUAGCAGAGUCUCAGAGAACAGAUGGCCAACGAGAGAAU
This 644-nucleotide long non-coding RNA is filed under the name Mus pahari (shrew mouse). RNAcentral describes it as "RIKEN cDNA 1500012K07 gene (MGP_PahariEiJ_G0011980.1)". Lineage: Eukaryota; Metazoa; Chordata; Mammalia; Rodentia; Muridae. The record is from RNAcentral.